This 497-nucleotide ribosomal RNA is filed under the name uncultured bacterium. Its description in RNAcentral is "partial 16S ribosomal RNA". It matches the Rfam family "Bacterial small subunit ribosomal RNA", at positions 28 to 507 of the family's 1533-position model. The record is from RNAcentral.
GAUGAACGCUGGCGGCGUGCCUAAUACAUGCAAGUCGAGCGAACAGAUAAGGAGCUUGCUCCUUUGACGUUAGCGGCGGACGGGUGAGUAACGCGUGGGUAACCUACCUAUAAGACUGGGAUAACUUCGGGAAACCGGAGCUAAUACCGGAUAACAUUUGGAACCGCAUGGUUCUAAAGUGAAAGAUGGUUUUGCUAUCACUUAUAGAUGGACCCGCGCCGUAUUAGCUAGUUGGUAAGGUAACGGCUUACCAAGGCGACGAUACGUAGCCGACCUGAGAGGGUGAUCGGCCACACUGGAACUGAGACACGGUCCAGACUCCUACGGGAGGCAGCAGUAGGGAAUCUUCCGCAAUGGGCGAAAGCCUGACGGAGCAACGCCGCGUGAGUGAUGAAGGGUUUCGGCUCGUAAAACUCUGUUAUUAGGGAAGAACAAAUGUGUAAGUAACUGUGCACGUCUUGACGGUACCUAAUCAGAAAGCCACGGCUAACUACGUG